RNAcentral lists this ribosomal RNA (433 nucleotides) under uncultured bacterium. RNAcentral's name for it is "partial 16S ribosomal RNA". It matches the Rfam family "Bacterial small subunit ribosomal RNA", at positions 29 to 507 of the family's 1533-position model. The record is from RNAcentral.
AACGAACGCUGGCGGCAUGCCUAACACAUGCAAGUCGAACGAGACCUUCGGGUCUAGUGGCGCACGGGUGCGUAACGCGUGGGAACCUGCCCUUAGGUUCGGAAUAACUCCCCGAAAGGGGUGCUAAUACCGGAUAAUGUCUUCGGACCAAAGAUUUAUCGCCUUUGGAUGGGCCCGCGUUGGAUUAGCUAGUUGGUAGGGUAAAAGCCUACCAGGGCGACGAUCCAUAGCUGGUCUGAGAGGAUGAUCAGCCACACUGGGACUGAGACACGGCCCAGACUCCUACGGGAGGCAGCAGUGGGGAAUAGUGGACAAUGGGGGAAAGCCUGAUCCAGCAAUGCCGCGUGAGUGAUGAAGGCAUUAGGGUUGUAAAGCUCUUUUACCCGGGAUGAUAAUGACAGUACCGGGAGAAUAAGCGCCGGCUAACUCCGUG